This 416-nucleotide long non-coding RNA is filed under the name Setaria italica (foxtail millet). Its description in RNAcentral is "long non-coding RNA (SITA_LNC001214)". Lineage: Eukaryota; Viridiplantae; Streptophyta; Magnoliopsida; Poales; Poaceae. The record is from RNAcentral.
CGGGAUCCUCAUAGACUCGAUGAAGGACACCGGCGCCAGGGCCUCCUCCGCCUCUUCUGGUACUCGUCCGCUGACGUCACUGAAGAGCUGCCGAAUCGGUGAAGCGUCUUCUACUAGUCGGCCGAUGUCCCCUUGAAGGAGGGAUCGGAUACUAGCAAGUUUGGCUCGGACGUCAUCAGGAACGGAGCUCAAGGCAACUUGGCGAGAAGCAACUUCUUCAUCGUCGGAAAGGGCGACCGCAAAAGAAAAGAGGCUGUUGUCGGGGGUGUCUUGUUCCUGGAGAUAAUAAAAAGGAAGAAUAAAUCGGCAGGGAGUAAAAGCAAAUCGGCUGAGUAAAAGCCGGAACAUAACUUACCGCUUUGAAGCGAAUUUCUUCAUGUUGCACUUGGGAAGCCGUCACGCCUUGCUCAGGGGCC